ACCCCACUGCUAUCGGGAUAGGACUAAGACAUGCUAGUUGAGCGCUUCCAGCCAACACGGGAGCGCAGCGCACAGCUCAGUAACACGUGGCUAAUCUGCCCUUGGGACCGGAACACCCCCGGGAAACUGGGGCUAAUUCUCGAUAGGUGAAGAACUCUGGAAUGAGUCUUUGCUUAAAAGACGUUUGCGUUAUGCUCGUAGACGUCGCCCAAGGAUGAGGCCGCGACCGAUCAGGUUGUUGGUGAGGUAAUGGCUCACCAAGCCUUUUACCGGUGCGGGCCGUGAGAGCGGGAGCCCGGAGAUGGGCACUGAGACAAGGGCCCAGGCCCUACGGGGCGCAGCAGUCGCGAAAACUUUGCAAUACACGAAAGUGUGACAGGGCUAUCCCGAGUGCCAUCCGCUGAGGAAGGCUUUUACCCAGUCUAGAACGCUGGGGGAAUAAGGAGAGGGCAAGUCUGGUGUCAGCCGCCGCGGUAAUACCAGCUCUCCGAGUGGUGUGGAUGUUUAUUGGGCCUAAAGCAUCCGUAGCUGGCUAAGUUAGUCCCUUGUUAAAUCCACCGAAUUAAUCGUUGGAUUGCGGGGGAUACUGCUUGGCUAGGGGACGAGAGAGGCAGACGGUAUUUCCGGGGUAGGGGUGAAAUCCUAUAAUCCCGGGAAGACCACCAGUGGCGAAGGCUGUCUGCUAGAACGCGCCCGACGGUGAGGGAUGAAAGCUGGGGGAGCGAACCGGAUUAGAUACCCGGGUAGUCCCAGCUGUAAACGAUGCAGGCUAGGUGUUUGGACGGCCACGUGCCGUUCUAGUGCCGCAGGGAAGCUGUUAAGCCUGCCGCCUGGGGAGUACGAUCGCAAGAUUGAAACUUAAAGGAAU
RNAcentral lists this ribosomal RNA (868 nucleotides) under uncultured crenarchaeote. Its description in RNAcentral is "bacterial SSU rRNA". It matches the Rfam family "Archaeal small subunit ribosomal RNA", at positions 21 to 865 of the family's 1478-position model. The record is from RNAcentral. Lineage: Archaea; Thermoproteati; Thermoproteota.